UCGAUCUCGGCGUGCCGUGCUCAAGGCGU
This 29-nucleotide small RNA is filed under the name Bombyx mori (domestic silkworm). RNAcentral describes it as "ovarian small RNA-28460". The record is from RNAcentral. Lineage: Eukaryota; Metazoa; Arthropoda; Insecta; Lepidoptera; Bombycidae.